UACCAGCACCCCGAGUGGUCGGGACGAUUAUUGGGCCUAAAGCAUCCGUAGCCGGCCUUACAAGUCCCCCGUUAGAUCCAACUGCUUAACAGAUGGGCUGCGGAGGAUCCUAUAAGACUAGGAGGCAGGAGAGGCAAGCGGUACUCAGUGGGUAGGGGUAAAAUUCGUAGAUAUCGAGAGGAACACCGGUGGCGAAGGCGGCCUUCUGGACAGUGACUGACGCUGAGACGCGAAAGCGUGGGGAGCAAACAGG
This 253-nucleotide ribosomal RNA is filed under the name uncultured bacterium. RNAcentral describes it as "partial 16S ribosomal RNA". The stretch from base 27 to 253 matches the Rfam family "Bacterial small subunit ribosomal RNA", at positions 550 to 776 of the family's 1533-position model. The record is from RNAcentral.